Molecule: transfer RNA, 74 nt
Filed under: Candidatus Saccharimonadota bacterium
Lineage: Bacteria; Candidatus Saccharimonadota
Description: tRNA-Lys
Rfam family: tRNA
About the family: Transfer RNA (tRNA) molecules are approximately 80 nucleotides in length.
Source: RNAcentral
GGGAGUGUAGCUCAGCUGGUAGCAGCAGCGGCCUUUUAAGCCGACGGUCGUGGGUUCGAUCCCCACCACUCCCA